UGAGGAAUAUUGGGCAAUGGACGCAAGUCUGACCCAGCCAUGCCGCGUGAAGGAUGAAGGCCCUAUGGGCUGUAAACUUCUUUUAUACGGGAAAAAACCAACGGUCGUGUAUCGGUGAUGAUGGUACCGUACGAAUAAGCAUCGGCUAACUCCGUGCAAGCAGCCGCGGUAAUACGGAGGAUGCAAGCGUUAUCCGGAUUCAUUGGGUUUAAAGGGUGCGCAGGCGGAUUAAUAAGUCAGUGGUGAAAUCCUACGGCUCAACUGUAGAACUGCUAUUGAUACUGUUAGUCUUGAGUAUGGUUGAGGUAGGCGGAAUGUGUCAUGUAGCGGUGAAAUGCUUAGAUAUGACACAGAACACCAAUCGCGAAGGCAGCUUACCAAGCAAUAACUGACGCUCAUGCACGAAAGCGUGGGGAUCAAACA
RNAcentral lists this ribosomal RNA (423 nucleotides) under uncultured prokaryote. Its description in RNAcentral is "bacterial SSU rRNA". It matches the Rfam family "Bacterial small subunit ribosomal RNA", at positions 355 to 774 of the family's 1533-position model. The record is from RNAcentral.